CAAACGACUCUCGGCAACGGAUAUCUCGGCUCACGCAUCGAUGAAUAACGUAGCAAAAUGCGAUACUUGGUGUGAAUUGCAGAAUCCCGUGAACCAUCGAGUUUUUGAACGCAAGUUGCGCCCGAAGCCUUUUGGCCGAGGGCACGUCUGCCUGGGCGUCACGC
Molecule: ribosomal RNA, 164 nt
Filed under: Chrysanthemum lavandulifolium var. lavandulifolium
Lineage: Eukaryota; Viridiplantae; Streptophyta; Magnoliopsida; Asterales; Asteraceae
Description: 5.8S ribosomal RNA
Rfam family: 5.8S ribosomal RNA
About the family: 5.8S ribosomal RNA (5.8S rRNA) is a component of the large subunit of the eukaryotic ribosome. It is transcribed by RNA polymerase I as part of the 45S precursor that also contains 18S and 28S rRNA.
Source: RNAcentral